RNAcentral lists this ribosomal RNA (497 nucleotides) under uncultured bacterium. RNAcentral's name for it is "partial 16S ribosomal RNA". It matches the Rfam family "Bacterial small subunit ribosomal RNA", at positions 28 to 507 of the family's 1533-position model. The record is from RNAcentral.
GAUGAACGCUGGCGGCGUGCCUAAUACAUGCAAGUCGAGCGAACAGACGAUGAGCUUUCUCCUCUGACGUUAGCGGCGGACGGGUGAGUAACACGUGGAUAACCUACCUAUAAGACUUGGAUAACUUCGUGAAACCGGAGCUAAUACCGGAUCAUAUAUUGAACCGCAUGGUUCAAUAGUUAAUGACGGUUUUGCUGUCACUUAUAGAUGGUUCCGCGCCGCAGUAGCUAGUUGGUAAGGUAACGGCUUACCAAGGCGACGAUGCGUAGCCGACCUGAGAGGAUGAUCAGACAGACGGGAAAUGAGACAGGGUCCAGACUCCUACGGGAGGCAGAAGUGGGGAAUAGUGGACAAUGGGCGCAAGCCUGAUCAAGACAUAACGCGUGGGUGAAGAAGGCCUUCGGGUUGUAAAGCACUUGUGUUGGGAAAGAAAAGUAGAAGGUUAAUAACCCGAUGUUCUGAAGGUACCCAAAGAAUAAGCACCGGCUAACUUCGUG